AUGAACGCUGGCGGCGUGCCUAAUACCUGCAAGUCGAGCGAACAGACGAGGAGCUUGCUCCUCUGACGUUAGCGGCGGACGGGUGAGUAACACGUGGAUAACCUACCUAUAAGACUGGGAUAACUUCGGGAAACCGGAGCUAAUACCGGAUAAUAUAUUUAACCGCAUGGUUCAAUAGUGAAAGACGGUUUUGCUGUCACUUAUAGAUGGAUCCGCGCCGCAUUAGCUAGUUGGUAAGGUAACGGCUUACCAAGGCAACGAUGCGUAGCCGACCUGAGAGGGUGAUCGGCCACACUGGAACUGAGACACGGUCCAGACUCCUACGGGAGGCAGCAGUAGGGAAUCUUCCGCAAUGGGCGAAAGCCUGACGGAGCAACGCCGCGUGAGUGAUGAAGGUCUUCGGAUCGUAAAACUCUGUUAUUAGGGAAGAACAAAUGUGUAAGUAACUAUGCACGUCUUGACGGUACCUAAUCAGAAAGCCACGGCUAACUACGUG
RNAcentral lists this ribosomal RNA (496 nucleotides) under uncultured bacterium. RNAcentral describes it as "partial 16S ribosomal RNA". It matches the Rfam family "Bacterial small subunit ribosomal RNA", at positions 29 to 507 of the family's 1533-position model. The record is from RNAcentral.